CCUACGGGAGGCAGCAGUGAGGAAUAUUGGUCAAUGGUCGGGAGACUGAACCAGCCAAGCCGCGUGAGGGAGGAAGGUACAGAGUAUCGUAAACCUCUUUUGUCAGGGAACAAAGACUGGGACGCGUCCCCGGAUGAGUGUACCUGAAGAAAAAGCAUCGGCUAACUCCGUGCCAGCAGCCGCGGUAAUACGGAGGAUGCGAGCGUUAGCCGGAUUUAUUGGGUUUAAAGGGUGCGCAGGCGGUCUGUCAAGUCAGCGGUAAAAGCCCGGGGCUCAACCCCGGCCCGCCGUUGAAACUGGCAGUCUCGAGUUGGAGAGAAGUAUGCGGAAUGCGCGGUGUAGCGGUAAAAUGCAUAGAUAUCGCGCAGAACUCCGAUUGCGAAGGCAGCAUGCCGGCUCCACACUGACGCUGAGGCACGAAAGCGUGGGUAUCGAACAGGAUUAGAUACCCUUGUAGUC
This 459-nucleotide ribosomal RNA is filed under the name uncultured bacterium. RNAcentral's name for it is "partial 16S ribosomal RNA". It matches the Rfam family "Bacterial small subunit ribosomal RNA", at positions 338 to 795 of the family's 1533-position model. The record is from RNAcentral.